This 216-nucleotide ribosomal RNA is filed under the name Passer montanus (Eurasian tree sparrow). RNAcentral's name for it is "partial 16S ribosomal RNA". The record is from RNAcentral. Lineage: Eukaryota; Metazoa; Chordata; Aves; Passeriformes; Passeridae.
UGUGGAACUUUAAAACCAGCAACCACCUUAAAACACACACACCCCCACUGGGCCCACUGCUAAAUAAGCCACUGGUCUGCGUUUUUCGGUUGGGGCGACCUUGGAGUAAAACAAAGCCUCCAAAAAUUAGACCACACCUCUAGACUGAGAGCAACCCCUCAACGUGCUAAUAGUACCCAGACCCAAUAUAAUUGAUCGAUGGACCAAGCUACCCCA